RNAcentral lists this unclassified non-coding RNA (200 nucleotides) under Hevea brasiliensis (rubber tree). Lineage: Eukaryota; Viridiplantae; Streptophyta; Magnoliopsida; Malpighiales; Euphorbiaceae. The record is from RNAcentral.
AAGCGCGAGCAUGGCGCGAAGACGGCCGAAGAACGUCGGCGUGGUCCGGCCCGCAGGCGAGGCCGGCAGCAAGGCUGCGAACGGCCGUGCGAUGCGGGCCGCAAUCAUGCUGACCCGGAACAGGCCGGGGCGAGGNNNNAACAUAAGCGAGGACGCCGCGCAGAAACCGCUCCGGCAGCGGCCGCGCAUACUCUUCCUCG